UACAAUAUGUGUAAAAGUGAGUCAGUCAUAAUUGAUUGUAAAAUCAACUGUUCUUCAUAACCUCCAACGUCAAAUGAUAAUUGAAUACGUUGCCGUAUGAAAAAGUUGAGAAUUAUAGCGUUUUCUUUUCUCUGUUGUUGUUGUUGUAGAAAAAAGAAAAAAGAAUUCUGCCGAGUUGACCUUUCUUUUCUCUAAAAAAUGUCGAUUGAAUACUGCUCUAUGCCCGGGCUUUCAGAGUUGCAUGUUUUUCUCUAACAUUGCCUUCUAUACAGGCAUAAUACUGUUGCGAAUUUACUCCUUACUAGUUUACUUUACUAGGUUCGUAUCUCUGGAUUGACAAAUAAAACCAAAAGCCGUUUGAAUCAUUUUAACAAAAUCUCGUUAUUCCGCAAUUCGUCUACACUAUAGCAGUUUACUCCUGGCACUGCUUGGUUACGUUAGCGCUCCCACGGCUUAUAUAGCCACGCACUUCUCGCUGAUGCCGAAGUGUCCUUCUAGAAUAUUGCGUCUGGCAACUAUAAGAACAUAAUGCUAUGAGGCGCCAAAUGCAGCUAUUGUUUAAGUAGACAAACGCGGCGCACAAUGUUUAUAAGAAGGGAUGCAUACAGCAAUACAAAUACCAAACUUAAUACUACUUUUGUAAAAAUACUAUGUUCGGACCGACAUUGAAAACAUUUUGAAAACACAUUUGUAUGUUGUGGAACGUAAGUCGUUCGGACCGACAAUUUGUGUUUUCGCUGAGUUUUCACUGACAGCUCACAAAUUUAUUUGUUUGUUUACAUUUGAGCAAUGAGAAUGGUAAUUCUGAGAAAAAGAUGUUAAUUGCGAAAGCAUUGGCUUUGAGAAGCCAAAUAAAUAUCCUGCUCAUCGACAAUUCUUCAAGAGAACUAUUGGAAUGUCUUACUACUCAGCACCAUGCUGUGGCAAAAAAGAUAGCCGAGUUAAAGAAACAACAUCUAACCGGAUUAGAUUUAAUAAAGGACCUUGGGGCACAAUUCCGGUUUCUUUGGCGCCGCGAUCUGAAAGUACCGUUGGAAAGAGGAAGUCCACCUGAUUAAAAAAUAUAUAGAUUAUAGCAAACGCUUAGUUUUCGAGAUAUUCGACUUCAAAGUUCAAAAAUUCCCAAAAUUCGAACAUUUCAACAAGCUAUUUCCCCGCAUUAAACACACUUUUCGGACAUUUUUUACUUCAAAUUAAUUAAAUUAAACUAUAAACAUUUAAAUACAACCACAUUUUUCAAUUUUUGUAGAUUUUUACCUAAGAAAUCAUUAUUUUAAAAGUUACUUUUUACACUUGUAUUGAGCAUCAUUUAUGUGCUAAUAAUUAUAAGGAAAUGGAGCGCUGCCACAUGAUAAUAAGCUAAUAUGAGCAAUUCGCUGAAUUUCUCUAUUUUGAUAUAAUUCCUCUUUCUUUAUUUAGUAAUCUUAGUUCUAAUAAAAACAAGUGUGUCUAUAAAUUAUAUUUCAAAUUAAAAUGAGUAUAAAUAAUCUUUCCAUGCA
Molecule: long non-coding RNA, 1499 nt
Organism: Bactrocera dorsalis (oriental fruit fly)
Lineage: Eukaryota; Metazoa; Arthropoda; Insecta; Diptera; Tephritidae
Exons: 2
Source: RefSeq, a predicted model, not a curated record